This is a long non-coding RNA of Oncorhynchus nerka (sockeye salmon), 515 nucleotides long. RefSeq lists it as uncharacterized. The transcript has 2 exons. The record is from RefSeq and is a predicted model, not a curated record. NCBI's taxonomy places the organism in Eukaryota, Metazoa, Chordata, Actinopteri, Salmoniformes, Salmonidae.
CACUUUUUUCUCUCUCUAUCUCUCACUUUCUCUUAUCUUAACAGUGGUGCAGUUUGGACAAUCACCACUUGAUGGCAGUGUUCAACCAGAAUCUAAUAUACUGAUAUACAGUAACAUUCACAAAGUAUUCAGUAACAUUCAGAAAGUAUUCAGACCCCUUGACUUUUUACACAUUUUGUCACGUUACAGCCUUAUUCUAAAAUGAAUUAAAUGUGUUUUUCCCCUCAUCAAUCUACACACAAUAACGCAGAAUUACAAAGCAAAAACGGUUCACUUUAUGUGUGAACAUUUUUAUUUAAAAAAAAGUAGAUAUCACAGAGAGAGAGGGAGAGUAGAGAGUCAGACAGAGGGAAAGAGAGAGAUGGAGGGGAGAGAGUCAGAACAGAGGGAAGAGAGAGAUGGAGGGUAGAGAGUCAGAACAGAGGGAAAGAGAGAGAGGGAGGGUAGAGAGUCAGAACAGAGGGAAAGAGAGAGAUGGAGGGUAGAGAGUCAGAACAGAGGGAAAGAGAGAGAUG